This is a long non-coding RNA of Papaver somniferum (opium poppy), 1133 nucleotides long. RefSeq lists it as uncharacterized. The record is from RefSeq and is a predicted model, not a curated record. The transcript is spliced from 6 exons. Lineage: Eukaryota; Viridiplantae; Streptophyta; Magnoliopsida; Ranunculales; Papaveraceae.
GCUCUGCAAGGUUGGGAUCACGUGGCGAGUUUUUUUCCGCUAAGAUGUUGGUUGUGAAUCUCUUUGCUUUAGUGGCGAUAAAUCAGCAUUCAAUGAUGUCAUGUAAAGAUGAGGUGAUGAGUUUGAUAUUUUAUUUCUUAGAAUCUGUGUUUUGAGCAUUUUUAAUUUUUCAUGGGAAAAAGAAUUUGGGGCGAAUAAUAUGUGUACCUGAAACCAGAUCAACUUUCUGUUUAUUCUUACACUGGUAAUCAAAAUUCUUGCCUUUUCUAAAUUUUGGGUUCAUCAUUUACUGCCUUCAAUAGUAGCAUGACUUACUCUAUUUUUCUUUUCCCAAUUCAUAAUUUUUUUUUUGUUUCCUCAUUAAUGCAUGAUGCAGUUUCUUUUCAACCAGAUUAUGGUAAGAAAUUUACGAAUGUCAAUCGAUAUUAUUUCCAAGAUUUAGUUUUUGCCUUCUUCAGAAGAUAAAUAUGGCUACCAUAAAUUGAUAUUAUUUCCAAUAAAUCAUCUUCUAUUUAUGGAAUUUCCGGGCUUAGUCGAAUUCUAUAUAAAGCACCCGCACAAAGAUGAUGGUGAUAUAUCCUCGUAGCGAAGGAUGAAGCGAUGAACUUUUAUCUUUCAUAGUUUACAGUUUUUCCUUAAACAUCUUCUAUUACGCAAUCGUAGUUUUUUUUUUAUUCCUUUAUUCCUUUUAUUGUUUAGUAUUUUUGUUCCUUUUAAUUUAUAUUUGGUUUUGUUUUGCAGUUGAUCGUAAUCGUUCCUCAUAGUCAAUAUUGAAACAAUAAAAUUAAAUCUGGACGUUUACUUUCGUACAAGUGUAUAGGUGAGUACGUUCAAAAGUGUUUCAUGGGAAACUGGAAAGUGUUUAUGGGAAUCCUGAUCAAUUUCUGCAAGAGGUAUGCUCAAGCUUUUCAUGGGAAGAUCGAAAGUUCUUAUGGGAAUCCUGAUAAAUUUCCGCAAGGAUUUGGAUUAUCUGUGUUUUCUUAGGUUUAGGAGCAGGAGAUUGUCAAGAAGGUUUUUAAGAUCAAGAAACAAAAGGAGAAUGUUGGAAAUAGAUAGAUUUGUAAAAACUUUUUUGUGUUAUAUUGGAUGAAAGAAAUUUUGACUUUCAAGUAGAUAACAAAUGCGUGUUUUCA